CCUCCAAGGCUAAAUACUCCUGACUGACCGAUAGUGAACCAGUACCGUGAGGGAAAGGCGAAAAGAACCCCGGCGAGGGGAGUGAAAAAGAACCUGAAACCGUGUACGUACAAGCAGUGGGAGCACGCUUAGGCGUGUGACUGCGUACCUUUUGUAUAAUGGGUCAGCGACUUAUAUUCUGUAGCAAGGUUAACCGAAUAGGGGAGCCGAAGGGAAACCGAGUCUUAACUGGGCGUUAAGUUGCAGGGUAUAGACCCGAAA
RNAcentral lists this ribosomal RNA (261 nucleotides) under Escherichia coli. RNAcentral describes it as "partial 23S ribosomal RNA". It matches the Rfam family "Bacterial large subunit ribosomal RNA", at positions 457 to 720 of the family's 2925-position model. The record is from RNAcentral. Lineage: Bacteria; Pseudomonadati; Pseudomonadota; Gammaproteobacteria; Enterobacterales; Enterobacteriaceae.